UACGUAGGGUGCAAGCGUUGUCCGGAAUUAUUGGGCGUAAAGAGCUCGUAGGCGGUUUGUCGCGUCUGCUGUGAAAACUCGGGGCUUAACUCCGGGCCUGCAGCCGAUACGGGCAGGCUAGAGUUCGGUAGGGGAGACUGGAAUUCCUGGUGUAGCGGUGAAAUGCGCAGAUAUCAGGAGGAACACCGGUGGCGAAGGCGGGUCUCUGGGCCGAUACUGACGCUGAGGAGCGAAAGCGUGGGGAGCGAACAGG
RNAcentral lists this ribosomal RNA (253 nucleotides) under uncultured bacterium. Its description in RNAcentral is "partial 16S ribosomal RNA". It matches the Rfam family "Bacterial small subunit ribosomal RNA", at positions 524 to 776 of the family's 1533-position model. The record is from RNAcentral.